GCACGAUGUCUUUCUGAACUCCCCCGACCGUCUGAGCUUCCACAAUGCCAUCUGGACUUCUCCAAUAAUGAGCUCCCCCAUUCAUCUACCGGGCUGUUCCAAAUGCUUUCCGAGCUUCUCCAACAGCAAGACGUCUACAGUAACCAAACUCCAUCCAAGUUUCUACAAUGGUCGACCGUCUUUCGGAUUUCAUCCGAGCUCUUAUAAGAGUUGGACUCCAUCUGAACUUCUACAGUGGAUGGAUCACAGACGAACUCCUACAACGGACAGGCUCCACCAGCCGGAUCUCUACUUCGAACUUCUUUCAGACUUCGUCAAUGAUCGAGCUUCUCCAGCAGCGGGACUUCUGCAGUAAGAAGUCUCCAUCCGAGCUUCCACAAUAACUGAUCUUCGUCCGAGCUUCUACAAUAAGCAGACUUCAUCCAGACUCCUACAAGAGUCGGACUCUAUCCGAACUUCUACAACAGAAUUAAAUCUCGGACUCCUCCAACGUUCGACUUUCUCCGGUGUCCUCAAGACUCUCUCAGCGGACGAACCUCCACAACACCAUCUGAACUCCACUGUCAGACGACCCCCUGUCAGAUUCCUCAUGAAACUGGACCUCUCCGACGGACAAUCUUCAGACGAGCUUCCACAUCAGGCAAAU
Molecule: long non-coding RNA, 646 nt
Filed under: Elaeis guineensis (African oil palm)
Lineage: Eukaryota; Viridiplantae; Streptophyta; Magnoliopsida; Arecales; Arecaceae
Description: long non-coding RNA (EGUI_LNC051459)
Source: RNAcentral